RNAcentral lists this microRNA precursor (103 nucleotides) under Marmota monax (woodchuck). Lineage: Eukaryota; Metazoa; Chordata; Mammalia; Rodentia; Sciuridae. The record is from RNAcentral.
AGUGGGAUAACUGGGUCAAAUGGUGGUUUCAUUCCUAGUUUUCUGAGAAAUCUCCAUACUGCUUUCCAUAGUGAUUCUACCAAUUUUCAGUCCCACCAGCAAU